UGGGGAAUAUUGCGCAAUGGGCGAAAGCCUGACGCGGCGACGCCGCGUGGGGGAUGAAGCAUUUCGGUGUGUAAACCCCUUUCGACUGGGACGAAUGCCUCGCAAGAGGAGUGACGGUACCAGUGGAAGAAGCCCCGGCUAACUACGUGCCAGCAGCCGCGGUAAGACGUAGGGGGCCAGCGUUGUUCGGAAUUACUGGGUGUAAAGGGUUCGUAGGCGGUGUGGCAAGUUGGGAGUGAAAUCUCUGGGCUUAACCCAGAGGCUGCUUCCAAAACUGCUGUGCUUGAGUGUGGGAGAGGCGCGUGGAAUUGCAGGUGUAGCGGUGAAAUGCGUAGAUAUCUGCAGGAACACCCGUGGCGAAAGCGGCGCGCUGGACCACAACUGACGCUGAGGAACGAAAGCUAGGGGAGCAAACAGGAUUAGAUACCCUGGUAGUCCUAGCCCUAAACGAUCAGGACUUGGGGUGCCACCCGUUCGGGUGUCGUCCCGGAGCUAACGCGUUAAGUCCUGCACCUGGGGAGUACGGUCGCAAGACUG
RNAcentral lists this ribosomal RNA (537 nucleotides) under uncultured bacterium. RNAcentral's name for it is "bacterial SSU rRNA". It matches the Rfam family "Bacterial small subunit ribosomal RNA", at positions 355 to 896 of the family's 1533-position model. The record is from RNAcentral.